GCCACGCCGGCACUUCCCAGCACGUUGCCCCUGGGACCUUGUUUGUGCCGCCCCCUCCCUGUACCAUCGCCAUGAACGCCGUCAAAUCAUCUUAGUGAUAGGUAAAAAAUACACGGGUUGCGAUCUGUAAGAGCACGCUGCUGUGCGUGCAGCGUGCCCCCACCCACUCAGACGCCAACACUUCUAUCCAAAGUUUUAUCCAUCGUGUGUUUGUUCAGGUGUGCUGCAUUCCCGCAACGUUAUUCGGUACAUACGUCUGGCUCCUUCCAAAGGAAGUCGCAGACCGUGUCUAUAAAUCAGGCUCCGAGGUCCUACCUAGUACCUACGCAUACACACAUCAC
RNAcentral lists this long non-coding RNA (341 nucleotides) under Chlamydomonas reinhardtii. RNAcentral's name for it is "long non-coding RNA (CREI_LNC001277)". The record is from RNAcentral. Lineage: Eukaryota; Viridiplantae; Chlorophyta; Chlorophyceae; Chlamydomonadales; Chlamydomonadaceae.